Molecule: transfer RNA, 77 nt
Filed under: Mycoplasma sp. CAG:776
Lineage: Bacteria; Bacillati; Mycoplasmatota; Mollicutes; Mycoplasmatales; Mycoplasmataceae
Description: transfer RNA-Arg(TCT)
Rfam family: tRNA
About the family: Transfer RNA (tRNA) molecules are approximately 80 nucleotides in length. Their secondary structure includes four short double-helical elements and three loops (D, anti-codon, and T loops).
Source: RNAcentral
GACCCCGUAGCUCAGCCGGAUAGAGCAAUCGCCUUCUAAGCGAUCGGUCGGGCGUUCGAAUCGCCCCGGAGUCACCA